CCAUCCCUUCUCGCCAGCAACCUAUAUAUCCUUUCCUCUCCCCUUCCUCCACACUCUCUUCUCCUUCUUGUCCUCCUCUUCUUCUCUUUCAAUUCAUUUCUUGUUAGUAGCCCUUCUCCUCUUCUCUCCUUCCUUCUCAUCCAUUUUUUCUUCUCAUCUUCUUCCUCCUCCAAGCCCACCCAUGAGCAAGAGACAUUUUCAUCUAUUAAGAGAAAAAGCUAAUAUCAUUUGUUAGUAAAAUAAAUAGUUAGAUUAUAUUGAAAUAUAUCAAUAACUAGAAGGAUCAACUUGACACUUUUUAAAGUAUAAAAAUGUAAAUGAAAUUGGACUAAAGUUGAGGGGGUGUUUCUAUAAUUUUUUCUUGAAAUUUUCUGUUUGAGAGAGAUAGAGAGGAGGGGGGAGAGAGAGAGA
Molecule: long non-coding RNA, 411 nt
Filed under: Elaeis guineensis (African oil palm)
Lineage: Eukaryota; Viridiplantae; Streptophyta; Magnoliopsida; Arecales; Arecaceae
Description: long non-coding RNA (EGUI_LNC028084)
Source: RNAcentral